GGGCACUUGGACUUACAUCACACACUAUUGAGGUUCUGGAUUAAUUCAAGCAUUCAUGCUUUUUCUUUCAUAUACAGUUUAUUGCAUAAUAAAUAAAGUCACCUUAAACCAAGUUUUAAUGCCUGGAAGCUUAAAGUGGGGGAAAGGUUGAAAUCUUUUACUUUGAAAGUAGCUUGGUUUUUUCUAACUUGCCUCAAAAAUUACAAAUCCUUCAGAAGUUGAGUACGUUAUGAUUCUUGAUGUAUGUAACUUAUGUUAUUGACGUUUCGGUUCAUGUCUCUGCAAAAAAAAAAAAAAAAAAAAAACUUUUCCUCAAAGAAGAAUUAAGGGACAUAUAGUUUGCCUCACGAAAUUUUUUUUUUUUACUUUUUGACAGUUAACAUAAAUGGACUAUUUUGUUUUCCUUAUAGUGUCUGUGUUUCACUGAUGGCAAGACUGUGGCCCCCAUGCCCCCAGCACAGGACCAUAAGCGAUUACUGGAGGGAGAUGGUGGCCCUAACACAGGGGGAAUGGGAGCCUAUUGUCCGGCCCCUCAGGUUUCUAAUGAUCUAUUACUAAAAAUUAAAGAUACUGUUCUUCAGAGGACAGUGGAUGGCAUGCAGCAAGAGGGUACUCCAUAUACAGGUAUUCUGUAUGCUGGAAUAAUGCUGACCAAGGAUGGCCCAA
This 666-nucleotide small RNA is filed under the name Pongo abelii (Sumatran orangutan). RNAcentral's name for it is "retained intron". The record is from RNAcentral. Lineage: Eukaryota; Metazoa; Chordata; Mammalia; Primates; Hominidae.